GAAAGGGGGAGACAAAGAUUAGGUGUUAUAGAUUGCUAUAGAAGAGUUGAGAAAUCAGAGGGAAAGGUAAGGACUUGGUCAGUGGAUGGGUGGAGAAACCUUUAUCAUAAAUAAGGCCCUCUAAUCCCUUUUCAAAUCAUGAAUUAGGGAUACCAUGUUAAUCCUUGAAAUAACUUACAAUAAGCAAAUAAAACAUCCUCUAAACAAUAAUCUUAAAAGAAAA
RNAcentral lists this unclassified non-coding RNA (223 nucleotides) under Hevea brasiliensis (rubber tree). The record is from RNAcentral. Lineage: Eukaryota; Viridiplantae; Streptophyta; Magnoliopsida; Malpighiales; Euphorbiaceae.